UAUUGGACAUUGGGGGCAACCCUGAUCCAGCCAUGCCGCGGGUGUGAAGAAGGCCUUGUUGUUGUAAAUCGCUUUAAGCAGUGAAGAAGACUCCAUGGUUAAUACCCAUGGACGAUGACAUUAGCUUCAGAAUAAGCACCGGCUAACUCUGUGCCAGCAGCCGCGGUAAUACAGAGGGUGCAAGCGUUAAUCGGAAUUACUGGGCGUAAAGCGAGCGUAGGUGGCUUGAUAAGUCAGAUGUGAAAUCCCCGGGCUUAACCUGGGAACUGCAUCUGAUACUGUUAGGCUAGAAUAGGUGAGAGGAAGGUAGAAUUCCAGGUGUAGCGGUGAAAUGCGUAGAGAUCUGGAGGAAUACCGAUGGCGAAGGCAGCCUUCUGGCAUCAUAUUGACACUGAGGUUCGAAAGCGUGGGUAGCAAACAG
RNAcentral lists this ribosomal RNA (421 nucleotides) under uncultured bacterium. Its description in RNAcentral is "bacterial SSU rRNA". It matches the Rfam family "Bacterial small subunit ribosomal RNA", at positions 362 to 775 of the family's 1533-position model. The record is from RNAcentral.